Molecule: long non-coding RNA, 322 nt
Filed under: Linum usitatissimum (flax)
Lineage: Eukaryota; Viridiplantae; Streptophyta; Magnoliopsida; Malpighiales; Linaceae
Description: long non-coding RNA (LUSI_LNC001056)
Source: RNAcentral
UCUUCCGCCCUCCCUGCAAUUGAUUUUUUCUCCUGUACUGACACCCAAUUCUGGGGGAGUUAGCCCGUAGCUUUAUCCCUGGGGAAUUAUUACCCCCACCGUAAUAAUGCUUCCUCCCAGUACUCUGUUUCUUCGUGGAUUGACCUUUGGUUAAAAUUGGAGGGAGAUGAAGGGCGGGCAAAUGAUCGAACACCUGGAGUGCUUGUUUUUUGGUAGGCAGAGAAUGUUUAUCGACGUCGAUGAUAAUGUCGCUACUAGCACUAGAGGAAUCAACCAACUCCAGAGGGCAGCCGCAUGAGUUGCUGGACCAGGACACCUUCUU